GUGAUUUGAGUGAAGUUGGAGCCAAAAGAACAGGAAAAAUGUAGUCACCAGUCCCAGGCCGCCCCGUUGUAGACAAGACCUGCAGCAAGACCAAGGAAACAGAACAUCCCAGACCGAGACCAAGAUGGCGGUGUUUUGGUUGGUGGGGGGAGAAGCCGGCGAGAAGGAAUGGACAGAUACACGCUUUUACGGGCUGCCAGUGGACCCAGGACGUGCAGGCUGACUCCUAAAGGAUCAAGAUGGCUUCUUGAGAGUUGAGGUUUCUGCGUCUGAGGAAUAAUGCAAAGGACACGAGGACAGUGAUAUGAAGACUGCCUGUACCCUUCACGUCGUCUUCAAGUUCAAUCUCAAGACAUCAAUGGCUUCUUAAGAGUUGAAGUUUCUGCGUUUGAGGAAUAACACGAAGGACACGAGGAUAUUGAUAUGAAGACUGUCUGUACCCUUCACGUCGCCUUCAAGUUCACUCUCAGACACCAUAGGAGGGAAUCUGCGGCUUUCCUCUCAUCUUAAUCCAGUCUCAAGCCAUCACAGGAGAGAGGAUGUAGGUGUGUCUGCUCAGGGGAAGGGAAUGAAGCAAAGAGGAAGCAGCACAGGAUGGAGUAGAGCUUCCCAGAGGACUCAAGAGCACUCCAAGUCAGCCACACAGCCUCAGCGUCACCUCCCCCAAUGGUCCCUGCUGUGGUGGGUGAGUCAUGGAAUAAAUGGGGUGUGGCCAGCUUCAUCACGGGCAUAUGUUAUUACCAAGAGAGAUGUGGAUAAUUGUGCUUGAUGCUCAUACAAUUAUGCUUUUCUUUGUGCACUCUAGAUAUGGUCAGGAUCUAAAAGAAUUAUCUAGAGUAUAAAAAGACACGAUUCUGAUACAAUAGUGUGUUUUUGUACUCGAGGAAGGUCAUUCUUGGACAUCCUGAUCAUCCCUAGAGCACACACACUAAAAAUCACUGUUGUAUCUGCAUCAAGUUGAACUUUACCCGUCUCUUUUGGUAGCAACAAGGCGCAUGUGAUGAGGGCGGCCAAUCUCUCUUAUUCUAAGGUGACCAGAACAGCAGUCCCCUCACACGGCCCCCUUGGAGGAGACGCCAAGUGUGCAUAUAUCAGCCUGUCCUCCAAGGGGGCACAUGUGAGGGGGACGCCUGUGGUACCGUUCCCUGGUGCCGAUAUAGCCCCCCACAGCAGGGACAGAUAUGGGGAGAAGAGAGCUGUGUGGCGUUAUAGAUAAGACGUAGGAGGUAGAUGUGAUGCAAGAAGAAGGGGAAGUAAUGUAUAAGGCAUGGUAUAGAUAUAGACACUGGCUUACAAGGGACGUAGUUUAUUUUGAGGAUAUGUUACAACAGUACAAUAGAGGUCACAAUUGUUCUAGUAUACACACAUCUUUUGCCUUACCUCUCCGUUAAACUCGGCAAGUAAAUAAUUAGCGUAAUAAAAAAAAAACUCAAAUCAAUGGGGAGAGUCUCUCGAACUCUUACAGGCAUGGCACAGUUAACCAGCAAACAGCUGAUCCACAGGUGACUCUCCAGGAAGGCGGCCCCUCCACGCUGGCUGCCAGAAUGGUGGGGCCGCCGGACUAGUGUAGUGGUGAUCUGGAGAGUGGUCUUGAUGCCUCGUGUACUCGUCCUCUGGUGCUGCUGGCUGUAUCUUAUUGUUGUUGUGUUCUCUCCAGGCUUCCUCUUCCUCCGGCGCUGGUAACUGGCUACAUCUUGUGUUCUCUUCAUGCUUGCCGUUUCUCCAUUAGUCCUCCGUCGCUGCUGGCUGUAUCUUAUUGUUGUGUUCUCUCCAGGCUUCCUCUUCCUCCUCCAAUCCUCCGGCGCUGGUGACUGGCUACAUCUUGGGUUCUCUUCAUGCUUGCUGUUUCUCCAUUAGUCCUCCGUCGCUGCUGGCUGUAUCUUAUUGUUGUGGUCUCUCCAG
Long non-coding RNA from Eriocheir sinensis (Chinese mitten crab), 1902 nucleotides. RefSeq lists it as uncharacterized. The record is from RefSeq and is a predicted model, not a curated record. Lineage: Eukaryota; Metazoa; Arthropoda; Malacostraca; Decapoda; Varunidae. The transcript has 3 exons.